CCCUUAGAUGUUCGGGGCUGCACAUGCGCUACACUGAAGGAAUCAACGUGUAUUUGCCCUUGCCCGAAAGGGUUGGGUAACCCGUUGAACCUCCUUCGUGCUAGGGAUUGGGGCUUGUAAUUAUUCCCCAUGAACGAGGAAUUCCCAGUAAGCGCGAGUCAUAAGCUCGCGUUGAUUACGUCCCUGCCCUUUGUACACACCGCCCGUCGCUACUACCGAUUGAAUGGUUUAGUGAGAUCCUCGGAUUGGUCCCGCCACGGGAGGAAACUUUCGAGGCGGAGUGCCGGGAAGACGAUCAAACUUGAUCAUUUAGAGGAAGUAAAAGUCGUAACA
RNAcentral lists this ribosomal RNA (333 nucleotides) under uncultured eukaryote. RNAcentral describes it as "partial 18S ribosomal RNA". It matches the Rfam family "Eukaryotic small subunit ribosomal RNA", at positions 1470 to 1796 of the family's 1831-position model. The record is from RNAcentral.